UGGGGAAUAUUGGACAAUGGGCGCAAGCCUGAUCCAGCCAUGCCGCGUGAGUGAUGACGGCCUUCGGGUUGUAAAGCUCUUUUGUCCGGGAAGAUAAUGACUGUACCGGAAGAAUAAGCCCCGGCAAACUUCGUGCCAGCAGCCGCGGUAAUACGAAGGGGGCUAGCGUUGUUCGGAUUUACUGGGCGUAAAGCGCACGUAGGCGGCUCGUUAAGUCAGGGGUGAAAGCCUGGAGCUCAACUCCAGAACUGCCUUUGAUACUGGCGAGCUCGAGUAUGGAAGAGGUUUGUGGAACUCCGAGUGUAGAGGUGAAAUUCGUAGAUAUUCGGAAGAACACCAGUGGCGAAGGCGGCCAACUGGUCCAUUACUGACGCUGAGGUGCGAAAGCGUGGGGAGCAAACA
This 402-nucleotide ribosomal RNA is filed under the name uncultured prokaryote. Its description in RNAcentral is "bacterial SSU rRNA". It matches the Rfam family "Bacterial small subunit ribosomal RNA", at positions 355 to 774 of the family's 1533-position model. The record is from RNAcentral.